AGCUCCAAUAGCGUAUAUUAAAGUUGUUGCGGUUAAAAAGCUCGUAGUUGGAUUUCUGUUGAGGACAGCCGGUCCGUACUUUGUACGUGUAUCUGGUUUGGCCUUGGCAUCCUCAUAGAGUACGCCGCUGCGCUUGAUUGCGUGGCGCGGAAUCUAUGACUUUUACUUUGAGGAAAUUAGAGUGUUCACGGCAGGCUAUCGCCAUGAAUAUAUUAGCAUGGAAUAAUAAUAUAGGACGUCAAUCCUAUUUUGUUGGUUUCUAGGAAUGACGUAAUGAUUAAUAGGGUCAAUUGGGGGCAUUCGUAUUAACACGUCAGAGGUGAAAUUCUUGGAUUUUUGCAAGACGAACUACUGCGAAAGCAUUUGCCAAGGAUGUUUUUA
Molecule: ribosomal RNA, 381 nt
Filed under: uncultured eukaryote
Lineage: Eukaryota
Description: SSU rRNA
Rfam family: Eukaryotic small subunit ribosomal RNA
Source: RNAcentral